This 1518-nucleotide ribosomal RNA is filed under the name metagenome. Its description in RNAcentral is "bacterial SSU rRNA". It matches the Rfam family "Bacterial small subunit ribosomal RNA". The record is from RNAcentral.
AGAGUUUGAUCCCAGCUCAGGAUGAACGCUAGCGGUGCGCCUAACACAUGUAAGUCGUGCGAUCGAGCCGAACUGAGUCCCUUCGGGGAUGAUGAUUGGUGACGGAGCGGCGGACGGGUGAGUAACGCGUGGCUAACCUACCCUCUUGACGGGGACAACCACCCGAAAGGGCGGCUAAUACCCGAUAUUGUCUGGAACCGAUGGGUUCCUUUCCAAAGGCGGUCAUGCCGCCGCAAGGGGAUGGGGCUGCGUCCUAUUAGCUAGUUGGUGAGGUAACGGCCCACCAAGGCUUCGAUGGGUAGCUGGUCUGAGAGGACGACCAGCCACAUUGGGACUGAGAUACGGCCCAGACUCCUACGGGAGGCAGCAGUGGGGAAUCUUGGCCAAUGGACGAAAGUCUGAGCCAGCGACACCGCGUGGGGGAUGAAGGCCUUCGGGUUGUAAACCUCUUUUCUGGGGAAAGAAUAAGGACGGGAGGAAAUGCCCGCCCGAUGACGGUACUCCAGGAAUAAGCAUCGGCUAACUCUGUGCCAGCAGCCGCGGUAAGACAGAGGAUGCAAGCGUUAUCCGGAAUUACUGGGCGUAAAGGGCGUCUAGGCGGUUCGGUAAGUCGUUUGUGAAAUCCCUCGGCUCAACCGAGGAAGGUCUUGCGAUACUGCCGGGCUUGGGUGCAGGAGAGGAGGGUGGAACUCACAGAGUAGCGGUGGAAUGCGUAGAUACUGUGAGGUACCCCGAUGGCGAAGGCAACCCUCUGGCCUGCUACCGACGCUGAAGCGCGAAAGCGUGGGGAGCAAAGGGGAUUAGAUACCCCCGUAGUCCACGCCCUAAACAAUGUUCACUUGGUGUCGGCCGCUCAUACUGGUCGGUGCCGAAGCUAACGCGUUAAGUGAACCGCCUGAGGAGUACGGCCGCAAGGCUAAAACUCAAGAGAAUUGACGGGUCCCUGCACAAGCGGUGGAGCACGUGGUUUAAUUCGAUAUAAACGAAAAACCUCACCCAGGCUUGACAUACUAGUGGUAGGAACCUGAAAGGGGGACGACUCUGCCUUCGGGUAGAGAGCUAGUACAGGUGAUGCAUGGCUGUCGUCAGCUCGUGUCGUGGGAUGUUGGGUUCAGUCCCGAAACGAGCGCAACCCUUGUCGUUAGUUGCCAGCGGGUAAUGCCGGGGACUCUAACGAGACUGCUGGUGAAUAGCCGGAGGAAGGCGGGGAUGACGUCAAGUCAUCAUGUCCCUUAUGCCUGGGGCGACACACAUGCUACAAUGGGGGGUACAGAGGGUCGCAAUCCCGUAAGGGGGAGCCAAUCCAUAAAAACCCCUCCCAGUUCGGAUUGAGGUCUGCAACUCGACCUCAUGAAGUCGGAAUCGCUAGUAAUCGCGGGUCAGCCAUACCGCGGUGAAUAUGUACUCAGGGAUUGUACACACCGCCCGUCACACCAACCGAGUGGGGGGUACCUGAAGUCGCUCUUCUGAGGGCGCCUAGGGUAACUUCCGCAAGAGGGGUGAAGUCGUAACAAGGUA